Molecule: transfer RNA, 70 nt
Filed under: Diaphus chrysorhynchus (golden-nosed lantern fish)
Lineage: Eukaryota; Metazoa; Chordata; Actinopteri; Myctophiformes; Myctophidae
Also listed under: 1 other name
Description: tRNA-Pro
Rfam family: tRNA
About the family: Transfer RNA (tRNA) molecules are approximately 80 nucleotides in length. Their secondary structure includes four short double-helical elements and three loops (D, anti-codon, and T loops).
Source: RNAcentral
CAAAAUGUAGUUUAAUUCAGAGCAUCGGCUUUGGGUGCCGAAGGUGGGAGUGUAAAUCUCGUCAUUUUGA